AAUAGAUACCCAGGUAGUCCACGCCGUAAACGAUGAGUGCUAAGUGUUAGAGGGUUUCCGCCCUUUAGUGCUGAAGUUAACGCAUUAAGCACUCCGCCUGGGGAGUACGGCCGCAAGGCUGAAACUCAAAGGAAUUGACGGGGGCCCGCACAAGCGGUGGAGCAUGUGGUUUAAUUCGAAGCAACGCGAAGAACCUUACCAGGUCUUGACAUCCUCUGACAACCCUAGAGAUAGGGCUUCUCCUUCGGGAGCAGAGUGACAAGUGGUGCAUGGUUGUCGUCAGCUCGUGUCGUGAGAUGUUGGGUUAAGUCCCGGCAACGAGCGCAACCCUUGAUCUUAGUUGCCAUCAUUCAGUUGGGCACUCUAAGGUGACUGCCGGUGACAAACCGGAGGAAGGUGGGGAUGACGUCAAAUCAUCAUGCCCCUUAUGACCUGGGCUACACACGUGCUACAAUGGACGGUACAAAGAGCUGCAAGACCGCGAGGUGGAGCUAAUCUCAUAAAACCGGUUCUCAGUUCGGAUUGU
Molecule: ribosomal RNA, 526 nt
Filed under: uncultured bacterium
Lineage: Bacteria
Description: bacterial SSU rRNA
Rfam family: Bacterial small subunit ribosomal RNA
Source: RNAcentral